AUUGAACGCUGGCGGCAUGCCUUACACAUGCAAGUCGAACGGUAACGGGCCUUCGGGUGCCGACGAGUGGCGAACGGGUGAGUAAUGUAUCGGAACGUACCUUUCAGUGGGGGAUAACGUAGCGAAAGUUACGCUAAUACCGCAUAUUCUGUGAGCAGGAAAGCAGGGGAUCGCAAGACCUUGCGCUGAUUGAGCGGCCGAUAUCAGAUUAGCUAGUUGGUGAGGUAAAGGCUCACCAAGGCGACGAUCUGUAGCGGGUCUGAGAGGAUGAUCCGCCACACUGGAACUGAGACACGGUCCAGACUCCUACGGGAGGCAGCAGUGGGGAAUUUUGGACAAUGGGGCAACCCUGAUCCAGCCAUGCCGCGUGAGUGAAGAAGGCCUC
RNAcentral lists this ribosomal RNA (385 nucleotides) under uncultured bacterium. RNAcentral's name for it is "bacterial SSU rRNA". It matches the Rfam family "Bacterial small subunit ribosomal RNA", at positions 30 to 418 of the family's 1533-position model. The record is from RNAcentral.